Molecule: ribosomal RNA, 497 nt
Filed under: uncultured bacterium
Lineage: Bacteria
Description: partial 16S ribosomal RNA
Rfam family: Bacterial small subunit ribosomal RNA
Source: RNAcentral
GAUGAACGCUGGCGGCGUGCCUAAUACAUGCAAGUCGAGCGAACGGACGAGAAGCUUGCUUCUCUGACGUUAGCGGCGGACGGGUGAGUAACACGUGGAUAACCUACCUAUAAGACUGGGAUAACUUCGGGAAACCGGAGCUAAUACCGGAUGAUAUUUUGAACCGCAUGGUUCAAUAGUGAAAGACGGUUUUGCUGUCACUUAUAGAUGGAUCCGCGCUGCAUUAGCUAGUUGGUAAGGUAACGGCUUACCAAGGCAACGAUGCAUAGCCGACCUGAGAGGGUGAUCGGCCACACUGGAACUGAGACACGGUCCAGACUCCUACGGGAGGCAGCAGUAGGGAAUCUUCCGCAAUGGGCGAAAGCCUGACGGAGCAACGCCGCGUGAGUGAUGAAGGUCUUCGGAUCGUAAAACUCUGUUAUUAGGGAAGAACAUAUGUGUAAGUAACUGUGCACAUCUUGACGGUACCUAAUCAGAAAGCCACGGCUAACUACGUG